This 564-nucleotide ribosomal RNA is filed under the name Russula cyanoxantha. RNAcentral's name for it is "eukaryotic LSU rRNA". The stretch from base 188 to 341 matches the Rfam family "5.8S ribosomal RNA". The record is from RNAcentral. Lineage: Eukaryota; Fungi; Basidiomycota; Agaricomycetes; Russulales; Russulaceae.
AGGUGCCGGGGCUGUCGCUGACUUUGUGCACGCUCCGGUGCUCUCUUACAAUCCAUCUCACCCCUUUGUGAAUCACCGCGUGGGUGCUCUCCUUUUGGUUUGUUCCAAAAGGGGGCAUUUGCGUUUUUAUACAAAACCACUGCAUGUGUAGAAUGUCUUACUAUUUGUGAUAAUGCACAAUCAAUACAACUUUCAACAACGGAUCUCUUGGCUCUCGCAUCGAUGAAGAACGCAGCGAAAUGCGAUACGUAAUGUGAAUUGCAGAAUUCAGUGAAUCAUCGAAUCUUUGAACGCACCUUGCGCCCCUUGGAAUUCCGAGGGGCACACCCGUUUGAGUGUCGUGAACAUCCUUCAACCUUUCUUGGUUUCUUGACCAGGGAAGGCUUGGACUUUGGGGGUCUUUCAUUGCUGGCCUCUUUGAAGCCAGCUCCUCCUAAAUGGAUUAGUGUGGUCUGCUUUGCCGAUCCUUGACGUGAUAAGAUGUUUCUACGUCUUGGGUUUCGCACUGUCGCUUCAGACCCCGCUUCUAACCGUCUUGCAUUCAAGACAGAGUUUAAACCUGAC